GUGCCAGCAGCCGCGGUAAUACGGAAGGUCCGGGCGUUAUCCGGAUUUAUUGGGUUUAAAGGGAGCGCAGGCGGCCUUUUAAGCGUGACGUGAAAUGUAUGCGCUCAACGUAUGAAUUGCGUCGCGAACUGAGGGGCUUGAGUUCACGGGAAGCCGGCGGAAUUCGUGGUGUAGCGGUGAAAUGCUUAGAUAUCACGAAGAACUCCGAUUGCGAAGGCAGCUGGCUGCAGUUGGACUGACGCUCAUGCUCGAAAGUGCGGGUAUCGAACAGGAUUAGAUACCCUGGUAGUCCGCACGGUAAACGAUGGACGCCCGCUGCGUGCCUGUUUUGGUACGCGGCCAAGGGAAACCAUUAAGCGUCCCACCUGGGGAGUACGCCGGCAACGGUGAAACUCAAAGGAAUUGACGGGGGCCCGCACAAGCGGAGGAACAUGUGGUUUAAUUCGAUGAUACGCGAGGAACCUUACCCGGGCUUGAACUGCGGCGGGAUCCGGCAGAGACGCCGGAGUCAGCAAUGACCGCCGCGGAGGUGCUGCAUGGUUGUCGUCAGCUCGUGCCGUGAGGUGUCGGCUUAAGUGCCAUAACGAGCGCAACCCUUCUCUUCAGUUGCCAUCAGGCGAAGCUGGGCACUCUGGAGACACUGCCACCGUAAGGUGUGAGGAAGGUGGGGAUGACGUCAAAUCAGCACGGCCCUUACGUCCGGGGCUACACACGUGUUACAAUGGCGCGUACAGAGGGCCGGCGCUGGGCGACCAGCGUCCAAUCCUUAAAACGCGUCUCAGUUCGGACUGGGGUCUGCAACCCGACCCCACGAAGCUGGAUUCGCUAGUAAUCGCGCAUCAGCCAUGGCGCGGUGAAUACGUUCCCGGGCCUUGUACACACCGCCCGU
Molecule: ribosomal RNA, 889 nt
Filed under: uncultured bacterium
Lineage: Bacteria
Description: bacterial SSU rRNA
Rfam family: Bacterial small subunit ribosomal RNA
Source: RNAcentral